RNAcentral lists this transfer RNA (66 nucleotides) under Astrospartus mediterraneus. Its description in RNAcentral is "transfer RNA-Asp". The record is from RNAcentral. Lineage: Eukaryota; Metazoa; Echinodermata; Ophiuroidea; Euryalida; Gorgonocephalidae.
UAAGAUUUAGUUAAUAAAUAAUUUUGGUAUGUCGAGCCAAGGUAAUGGGGUUUUCCAUAAUCUUAG